This 506-nucleotide unclassified non-coding RNA is filed under the name uncultured Entrophospora. Its description in RNAcentral is "bacterial SSU rRNA". It matches the Rfam family "Eukaryotic small subunit ribosomal RNA", at positions 591 to 1092 of the family's 1831-position model. Lineage: Eukaryota; Fungi; Glomeromycota; Glomeromycetes; Entrophosporales; Entrophosporaceae. The record is from RNAcentral.
CCAAUAGCGUAUAUUAAAGUUGCUGCGGUUAAAAAGCUCGUAGUUGAAUUUCGGAAUUGAUGCAUCGGUCGUGCCUUAAGGGGCAUGAACUGGUGUAGCCAAUUUCUCACCUUCUGGUGAAUUGUUGAUGUUCUUAAUGGGUGUCUCAAUGAACUAGAAUUUUUUACUUUGAAAAAAUUAGAGUGUUUAAAGCAGGCAUUGAUUUGCUUGAAUACAUUAGCAUGGAAUAAUGAAAUAGGACAGUGGUUCCGUUUUGUUGUUUUCUAGGAUCACGUAAUGAUUAAUAGGGACAGUUGGGGGCAUUAGUAUUCAAUUGUCAGAGGUGAAAUUCUUGGAUUUAUUGAAGACUAACUAUUGCGAAAGCAUUUGCCAAGGAUGUUUUCAUUAAUCAAGAACGAAAGUUAGGGGACCAAAGACGAUUAAGUACGUCGUAGUCCUAACCAUAAACUAUACCAACUAGGAAUCAGACGAUGUUAAUUUUUUAAUGACUCGUUUGGUACCUUACG